This is a long non-coding RNA of Oncorhynchus tshawytscha (Chinook salmon), 437 nucleotides long. The record is from Ensembl. Lineage: Eukaryota; Metazoa; Chordata; Actinopteri; Salmoniformes; Salmonidae.
GGGGGAGGCACUGGUCUUCAUGGACUCACACUGCCAGAGCUGUGGGGGAGGCACUGGUCUUCAUGGACUCACACUGCGGGUGCAGCAGUGGCUGGCUGGAGUCACUACUGGAGUGGCACAGGACAGUCUGUCUAUCUGUCUGUGUCUCUCUGUCCAGGUGUAGUUGUGUGGGGGAUUUCAUGGAGGUGGUCCCCUGCUCCAGAGUGGCUCACUUGAGGAGCCAUCACCUGUCCUACCCCCUCCCUGACCAGGAUAUCCUCCAGAGGAACAACAUCUGCAUCACUGACACCUGGCUGGAAGAUCUACUAACAGAGAGAUCACUUCAUCAGACAGAGCUAGUCAGACUGAAGAAGAGACCGGGCUGCAGAAACUUCCACUGGUUCCUGACUGACGUCUACCCAGAACUCUAUAUGCCACAGGGCAGACCUUCACUCUCA